GGAGAACAGCUCCCAGCAGCCCACACAUGGUGACUGCGUGAGCGGCCUGUGGCCACCACAAUAGUUACCACAAAUUGGGUGGCAAAAGACAAGAGAAAUGUAUUCCCCCCAGUUCUGGGGGCCAGAAGUCUGAAGUCAAGUCAUCCGCAGAGCCCUGCUCCCUCUGAAGCCUCCAGCGGGGAUCCUUCCUGCCUCUUCCAACUCCUGGUGGCCCCAGGCAUUCCCUGGCUUGUGGAUGCAUCACUCCCAUCUCUGCUUCCGUUUUCAUGUGGCCUCUCCUCUAUGUGUGUCUGUGUCUUCUCUUCUGCUUCUUAUGAGGACACCUGUCAUCGGCUUUACAACCCACCGGAUGUUUUCAGACUCGAUGAUCCCAAAAGUGAUCCCAUUAGAAGAAGAAGGAAAAAAAAAUAAAAAAGAAAGAAACAACCUCCGCCCCUGCAACCUCUUAAACGGCCCACAACAUCUGAAUCGGAAGGUCCGUUCAUGCUGAUUUUCUACGUGUCAGGAAUUUCAUGCCAAAAAGCGACUCUUCUACAUUAAUAACGCAUCUCCCCAUCCAAGACAGGAAAUAACAUUACAAAAGCCGGAAAGGACAUCAAACGCGCUGGCUUGGCAGCCACAUGUAUAUGUGAAAUUACUGUCAGAGUUCAAAGGCAGGGCUGAGACAUGGAGGGUGCGUGCGGCAGUGUUACCCCAUGAUGCUUUUACCUCGUGGGAAUAAGCACAGUGGCAGGUUACUGUGACCUGGCCACUGGCUUCCUGAUACCCACAUUGAUUCUGGCACGUGGGACUGCAGGGCUGGAUUUGGGUGGGCUUUGCAGCUCCCCAUACAUCCUACCCCAGCUCAAGAGCCUCACACGUAAAGCAACCUUUCCAGGUUUGGGCAGCCCGGACCAGUGCCUGCACCCAGGGCUGGCCAAUGCUGCAGAGCUGGCUCUUACUGAGCACUGCACUAAUUAUUAAAGCAUUGCCUCAGGACUCUUGCACAACCUUGAGAAGUAGGAGCUAUCAUGCCCCCUAAUUCAUGGAUGGGGAAUUGAAGAUGAAUUGAGGUUACUUGAUGUGCCCAUUGCAUGGAGGAAGUGGAGGAACCAAGGUUCAAGCCCAAAGAUUCCAUCACUCACAACUACCAGGCUUCACUGCUUCAAUGUGGAAGCUUCCUUGGGAGAUGCAGCCAACCACGCCCAGGCAAGGUUGGACCUGAAGGUGUGAAGAGCUCACCUUUCUGGUUAAGGCAAGUCACUGAGCCCCAUUUGGAGAUGGAGUUUGCAUCAAUCUUCAUGGCAAGAGGGAUCAUGACAUGAAUGAGAGGGCAGCAAUUUGACCAAAGGCUCUUCUAGCUAGACAGGUAACUUGGUUUAUCCUCCUGACUCAUUAAACUGCCUGGUGAACUCCUAUGCAUUCUUCAAAACCCAGUUUAAACAUUCCUUUCACCAUGAAGAUUUCCUUGCCCCAUAAAAAGUCAAUCAACUCUUUCUUUGGGCCCCUGAAGUGUAUGUGUUGUGAGUGCUUCUGUCUUGACACAGACUGCUUUGCCUUGAAUGUGUGCAGCUCGCUGUCUGUAUAGUACAUUCAUCAAGGACAGGAAUUGUGUUCAAUGUGCCUGUGGACACCAGCUUGGAUUAACAGGAACAACGCUAGUAACACCCAGCGCUAGUUAAUCACGUACUCUGUGCUGCGCACUCCUCUAACGGGGUCAUGGGCUCUAAUCCUUAAAACACCGUAGGAGGCUGCUGUGAUUAUUAUUCCCAAUGGCGAGGCGUGUAGGCUCUGAAGCCAGGCCACCUGGGUUUGAACCCUGGCUCUGCCUGUGACCUUGAGUGAGUUACUCAGCCUCUCUGUGUCUCGGGAUUCUCAGUGACAUAGGGAUCAUCACAGCAGUCACCCAGUGAGGGCUGGAGCCAACUCCGGCAAGAGCUAACUAUUAAAGCUUAAAGAAUUUUGCCAUCGUUAAACAUUACAUUAUGCACACUUAGAGUGGAGUAAACUAUAUUUAAAACAAACGUAAUAAACACUCAAAAGUCAUCACUUCCUAAUUAUUUCCCCACAUUUUACUUUCCUCCCUGCCCUUAAGGAUACUCACGUUUCCACUUUGGUGGAAAUACGGAAUAACGAUGAGCUUGCACACUGCUUCCCAACUUUAUGUUCAAUGGCCUCACACUGGUUGAAAUGAGACGUAAGGAGGGGAUUUACACCAUGGAGACUGGCAAACGCUAUAACUCAGGGUUUUUUUAACCUUGGAAAACCACUUGUUAAGCAUUCCCCAGCACAGCGAUGUAACCACCUUAUAGCAAGCACACAGUAAGCUGUCAAUAUGCAUUAGCUACUAUUGCUAUUACUACGAAGAAGACAGAGCUUAAAUCACUCACCCAGGUUAUGAAAGAUCCAGGUAUGACCCCAGACAUGACAGCUCCCUAUCCCUUAACCAGCUUGAACUCAAGGCAGACCACAGAGGAGUGGCCAAGAAAUGUAUUUGGUUGAAUAAACAAACAUUGAAUUAGUAGAUCUCAAAUCUGCUGGCCGCAGAAGUGCCUGGGGAGCUUUGUAUGGACACAGAUUCCCACAGUAUCCCUUGUGGUAGGCUCCAGAGUGUGCAUUAGAGCGAGUGCGUCGGGUUCUGAUUCUGUCCCUCCCCAUAGCCCAGCCCCAUCCCUGUCUUGCUUGUUGCCCGCUUGUGACCCAUCUUCCACAUCUGCCUUCCUGCAUCCCUACGGGGGUGAGUGGGAACUGUGAGGUGGAGAACCGCAUAGGGCAGGGGCCCCUCUGUGCACAGGCCUUAACCAAGAGAGGGCUUGAAGACUGAACACCGUUGCAGGCAAAUUAGAAGAAAACCUGCCUCCUCCAGCAGACACUGACCGUGGUGUAUAGGCAGCCAAGAGAGGCCGCAGCUUACCUGGGCUCAGAGGCCUGCAUAUAUCUGAGUCCACGGUAACAAAAAACAGGCUGUGAGCGUGCACUGCACUUGCAAAUUCACAAAAUGCUGCCACAUUCCUUCUCCUUUCAUCUCACGAUAACCCCAUGAGAUCAGCAAUGGAUGCAUAAAAAUAAUCCCCCGUUUACAGAUGAGGAAACAUGUGACUCAUAUAGCUCAGAGCUGCUCAUGCCUGGAGCCUCAGGCUUCAAAGCUGUGUUUUUCCUUCAAAAGUGGGUGUGAGGGAGAGAAGUGGAGAAGAUGGGGGCCGGAGUCCCGGAAAGUCAACGUUUAUGCAUUAUGUUGGCUUUGCUACCCACUAGCUGUGUGACCCUGGAAAAGCUUCUUAAUUUCUCUGUGCCUUAAGUUUGCACCUUUGAAAAACCUAAGAAAAUGAUUGGCAGCCUCCUCUUAUGGUUGUGGUGAAUUAAUAGAUGUAAAAAUGCCUCUUAGAAUGUUGCACUGGGUGGGGUUCAAUAAUGGAAUAGACAGGAACCACAGCAACAGCUAUAAUGAUAUUGUUGCCUUUAUAUAUCUUGUGGCAUUUCCGGGCUAUUAUUUUUAAAAGGCAGGCUAUUGAGCUAUCUGGGAUAGAUCAAGUGACGGAUACGUAGAUGGGAAGUCAAGGAGCUCUAGACUGGAAGUUGGGGACCAUGGAUUGAAGACCUCAUCCAGUCAACAGGUAUUUCCUGGACACAUACGAUGUGUCCAGUCCUCUGAAGGUCCCCUCUGACAAAGUGGCUGCAUGGAGCAAUAGCUACGACUGUGACCCCAGGGCCACACAGACAGGGUCUAUGUCUGCAGCUGAUGGGCUCACGGCCUUGCUCUAGUCCCUUAUCUCCCUGCAUCUGUCGUCCCGUCUGUAAAAUAGAAUGAAUCAGAAAAUAAACAGCAUCUCUCUGACUCAGUGGCUGCAUGGAGCAAUAGGUAAGAGUGUGACCCCAGGGCCACACAGACAGGGUCUACAUCUGCAACUGAUGGGCUCACAGCCUUGCUCUAGCCCCUUGUCUAUCUGUAUCUGUCAUCCAAUCUGUAAAACAGAAUGAAUCAG
This 3962-nucleotide long non-coding RNA is filed under the name Homo sapiens (human). Its description in RNAcentral is "HSALNT0234848". The record is from RNAcentral. Lineage: Eukaryota; Metazoa; Chordata; Mammalia; Primates; Hominidae.